This 460-nucleotide ribosomal RNA is filed under the name uncultured bacterium. RNAcentral's name for it is "partial 16S ribosomal RNA". It matches the Rfam family "Bacterial small subunit ribosomal RNA", at positions 338 to 795 of the family's 1533-position model. The record is from RNAcentral.
CCUACGGGUGGCAGCAGUGAGGAAUAUUGGUCAAUGGACGCAAGUCUGAACCAGCCAAGUAGCGUGAAGGAUGACUGCCCUACGGGUUGUAAACUUCUUUUAUAAAGGAAUAAAGUGAGGCACGUGUGCCUUUUUGUAUGUACUUUAUGAAUAAGGAUCGGCUAACUCCGUGCCAGCAGCCGCGGUAAUACGGAGGAUCCGAGCGUUAUCCGGGAUUAUUGGGUUUAAAGGGAGCGUAGAUGGGUUGUUAAGUCAGUUAUGAAAGUUUGCGGCUCAACCGUAAAAUUGCAAUUGAUACUGGCAGCCUUGAGUACAGUUGAGGUAGGCGGAAUUCGAGGUGUAGCGGUGAAAUGCUUAGAUAUAACGAAGAACUCCGAUUGCGAAGGCAGCCUACUAAGCUGCCACUGACAUUGAUGCUCGAAAGUGUGGGUAUCAAACAGGAUGAGAUACCCCGGUAGUC